GACGAACGCUGGCGGCAUGCCUAAUACAUGCAAGUAGAACGCUGAAGGAGGAGCUUGCUUCUCUGGAUGAGUUGCGAACGGGUGAGUAACGCGUAGGUAACCUGCCUGGUAGUGGGGGAUAACUAUUGGAAACGAUAGCUAAUACCGCAUAAUAGCAGUUGUUGCAUGAUAACUGUUUGAAAGGUGCAAUUGCACCGCUACCAGAUGGACCUGCGUUGUAUUAGCUAGUUGGUGGGGUAACGGCUCACCAAGGCGACGAUACAUAGCCGACCUGAGAGGGUGAUCGGCCACACUGGGACUGAGACACGGCCCAGACUCCUACGGGAGGCAGCAGUAGGGAAUCUUCGGCAAUGGACGGAAGUCUGACCGAGCAACGCCGCGUGAGUGAAGAAGGUUUUCGGAUCGUAAAGCUCUGUUGUAAGAGAAGAACGAGUGUGAGAGUGGAAAGUUCACACUGUGACGGUAUCUUACCAGAAAGGGACGGCUAACUACGU
This 494-nucleotide ribosomal RNA is filed under the name uncultured bacterium. Its description in RNAcentral is "partial 16S ribosomal RNA". It matches the Rfam family "Bacterial small subunit ribosomal RNA", at positions 28 to 506 of the family's 1533-position model. The record is from RNAcentral.